AAAACUUUCAACAACGGAUCUCUUGGUUCUGGCAUCGAUGAAGAACGCAGCGAAAUGCGAUAAGUAAUGUGAAUUGCAGAAUUCAGCGAAUCAUCGAAUCUUUGAACGCACCUUGCGCCCUCCGGCAUUCCGGUGGGCAUGCCUGUUCGAGCGUCAUC
This 158-nucleotide ribosomal RNA is filed under the name Roccella minuta. Its description in RNAcentral is "5.8S ribosomal RNA". It matches the Rfam family "5.8S ribosomal RNA". From Rfam's summary of the family: 5.8S ribosomal RNA (5.8S rRNA) is a component of the large subunit of the eukaryotic ribosome. It is transcribed by RNA polymerase I as part of the 45S precursor that also contains 18S and 28S rRNA. The record is from RNAcentral. Lineage: Eukaryota; Fungi; Ascomycota; Arthoniomycetes; Arthoniales; Roccellaceae.